Molecule: ribosomal RNA, 586 nt
Filed under: Salmonella enterica subsp. enterica serovar Typhimurium
Lineage: Bacteria; Pseudomonadati; Pseudomonadota; Gammaproteobacteria; Enterobacterales; Enterobacteriaceae
Description: partial 23S ribosomal RNA
Rfam family: Bacterial large subunit ribosomal RNA
Source: RNAcentral
GGGUUGUGAGGUUAAGCGACUAAGCGUACACGGUGGAUGCCCUGGCAGUCAGAGGCGAUGAAGGGCGUGCUAAUCUGCGAUAAGCGCCGGUAAGGUGAUAUGAACCGUUAUAACCGGCGAUACCCGAAUGGGGAAACCCAGUGUGAUUCGUCACACUAUCAUUAACUGAAUCCAUAGGUUAAUGAGGCGAACCGGGGGAACUGAAACAUCUAAGUACCCCGAGGAAAAGAAAUCAACCGAGAUUCCCCCAGUAGCGGCGAGCGAACGGGGAGGAGCCCAGAGCCUGAAUCAGCAUGUGUGUUAGUGGAAGCGUCUGGAAAGGCGCGCGAUACAGGGUGACAGCCCCGUACACAAAAGCGCAUGUGCUGUGAGCUCGAUGAGUAGGGCGGGACACGUGGUAUCCUGUCUGAAUAUGGGGGGACCAUCCUCCAAGGCUAAAUACUCCUGACUGACCGAUAGUGAACCAGUACCGUGAGGGAAAGGCGAAAAGAACCCCGGCGAGGGGAGUGAAAAAGAACCUGAAACCGUGUACGUACAAGCAGUGGGAGCACCCUUCGGGGUGUGACUGCGUACCUUUUGUAUAAUG